This is a long non-coding RNA of Passer domesticus (house sparrow), 3922 nucleotides long. RefSeq lists it as uncharacterized. The record is from RefSeq and is a predicted model, not a curated record. NCBI's taxonomy places the organism in Eukaryota, Metazoa, Chordata, Aves, Passeriformes, Passeridae. The transcript is spliced from 6 exons.
CUUAUCUGGGUCAGUUUCCACCAGAAUUGGUCCAUGGAGGCAUCUGAGUGGCCUGUGGAGCUCAGUGCAGGGGUUCUCUGCCAUAUCUUGAAUUCUGUAGCUCUGAGGCAGCUGCCCAGCCCUCCCUGCCCCCUCAGUGCCACCUCCUGAGUGGCACCAGGGAAUGUUGGAGCAGAAAGGUCUGGGUGGGUGGGAGAUGAGCCUGGCACUCCCUGUCUGCCUGGAGGGGCUGGCAGCCAGGGCUGUCUGAGGCUCAGGGUUGUGGUGGUGAGGUUGCAGCCCAGCCAGCAUAAGGAAUUUCCUUUCUUCUGGCAGAAAAAGAAAGAUGAAAUAUUAAAAGCAUGGCUCAAAGGCUGCUGUAUAUAUAAAAUCUUCUUUUCCCUACUGCUCAGCACUGCUUUGGUGUUGCUCAGAGACAGCAGUCAGUCAGAGCAGGAGAGAUGCCAGACUUCAGCAGAGAGCAGGGAGAGGGGCUGAAGCAAGGGAGAAAGAGAAUUAUCUCAGGUGAAGGCAGUGCCCUCUGAAGCAGGAGGACACCUCCAUGUGGGCCACUGUGCUUGCAUGAGGGAGGAUGGGAGGAGAAGAUGACCAAGGCACCCCUGGAGAAGUCCUGCAGGCUCCCAGCUUGCCAUUUGUGCCAGCCUGGCUCCAGACUGGAUGGAUUUUGCUCCUAACCCAGCACGUUGCUUCCUGCAGUCCUCUCCCCUGGAGCAUCCCUGAGCCACCGAGAGGAGUGAGCUCCAUCCUGGGCUGCCCUGUGGCCAGGGCCUGCUGCAGCCUCCUUGCCCAUCAUUAGUGGCCCAAGGUGUGGAAAGCUCUGCCUGGCCAGCGAGGACUCGUGCUGGCAGAGCAUCCCUGCAGCUGCUUGGAAACACGAGGGAAGAUCCAUCCAGCUGCUCUCAUCCCAGCGUGGUGCACGAGUGCUGCAGCACUGCCAGCAGCAGCAGAAUGCUCUGGAAAACCCACGUGAGGGUUAAAACAAGGAACAGGAGAUGCAGAUGUGCUGGGCCUCCAGAGCUGCUCUGUGCCGUGCUCGAGCCUCCUCCAGAGCAGUCUGAGUCAGAGCCUGAGACGAGAGACACGCAGCUCUGCAGAAUGCAGUUUAUUGUACCCAAGAUGUGACAGCAGCCCAGGGUCACGGGUGACAGAGCCACACCUACAGCUGCCAGCCACAGCUAUAGGCAAGCCUGAAGACACUUUAAUUUUGGUUACAAUGCAUUAUAUAUUUUUAUUCGCUGUGCAUUUAAUACAUAACAAGCAAUCAAUACCUUCACUGUUACCUACAGCCUAUCAGACUGCUGUCGUUACCAUAUUAUGGUCAAUACUAUCCAAUCACAAGAGUCAGUAUGUUACAGUUUAAACUUAAAGUUGUUUUUCAGUUGUCUUGCAGUGGAAAAUUCUUAGAUCUUUUUUCUACUUGCCACAUCAACAUACCUUGUUAGCCUGUGCUAUCUUUCUGCUUGGUGAAAAGAUCUUUUUGUUUGUGGUCAGCUUAUCCUUUGCUCUAAGUCAUAAAAUCUCUUUCCAACUUGACAUAACCUUGGCUUUCUUAGCUGCCCAGUAAGGCUGGCUGAGCAAUCCUCAAUUCAUACAUCUAUUAUUCUUCUAUAUAAAAAAAUUGCUUCCAUCUCUAUUUUAUUCUCAGGUUCUACAUUCAGAGAUCUUUCUGCCAAGCACACAUGUGAGACUUUCUUGUCCAACUUCCAUCCUUCCCAACGAGUCUGUCCCUGUGCCGUGUGUGCCACCAGCCAGCCCUCCCCAGAGGAGCUCCCUGGGCUGAGCUGGAGCAGAGCUCUGUGCUGAGCAUCCUUUCCCUGGCCAGGCAGCUUCCCACAGCCCCCAGCAGCAAAUCCCGGGAGCAGAGUCCCCACUGCCGGCUGUAUCCAUUUGUGUGAGAUCCCACCGAGUGUGUUUUGCAUAAUUUGUUUCCCAGAAUGAAGUGUUUUACAAGCGCAGCAUUUAAUCACCUUCCAGAAAGAGGAUGGAAAAAUCAUCCCCAGCCCGCCGUGCCUGCCCUGCCAGGAGGAGGAGGAGGAGGAGGAGGAGGAGGAGGAGAGGUGGGUGCUGUGCCCCCCAGCCUCUGCCGGCCAGCCCCAUCACAGCUCUUCCCCGGGGCCUUGGCAUUCCUCCACCUCUCUUUGGGUAGAGACACCCAAAACCUGGCAAUUCCAGUAUCCUCCAGCUGAGCGUGUGCAUUUCUGGCAACAAGGGCAACCCAAGCAAGGCUGACAGCACCUGAGCCAGGGAACACCUUCUGGUUCCUGCACAGAACCUGGCCCUUCCUCCAGGCAGAGCAGGUGAAGGAUGAAAAAUCAAAGUAAUGGCCAAGAACGCAGCAUCCACUUGCCUUCUCUUGCCCGUGGCACAGCAAUAAAUCCAGUUAAGGCAUUGCAGCGGGUGAGCCACAAGGGUACCCAGCUGGGAGCCCAGGGGCUCCAGGAGGGUUCUGGCCACCCUGAGGUGUGGAUGUGGCAGCCUGGUCACAGAGCAAGAAAACGUGGCGUUUUCCCUGCUGUCUCGUGGUGCUGAAGGACAGCUCAGACGCCUCGUUAAUCACUGCUGAUGACGGAGCUGUGGCACUGAGGGCCGGGUGGCUGCUGCUUCCCCAGCCAGGGAUAUUUUGCUGAUGCUGCUCCCUAAAAACUCCAGCUGAAAACUGAGGGAAAACUGUGUCCUCCUUGGAGUUGUAGCGUGUGGAAGAAGCUCCUGCUCUGUUCCAGCCUCUCAUUCCUGCCCAUGGGGCACACAAGGCUUUUCAAGUGCCCGGGAGCGGGGCUGGUGUCAGGAGAGGCUGCACAGCCCAGCAGCUGCGGUGCUGGAGUGGAUUUGAACAGCAGCUCCUGCAGGGACAGCGGGCAGAGAGCUGAGAGCCCCUGGAUGGUGACACUGCCCGAGGAGAUGGCUCUGGGCUGCAGCAGCUGCAGGGCUGGAUCAGGAUGGGCCUGCCUCCCCCUGGCACCCACGGAGAGCAGCUGCCCCAGGGACAGGGGCACAUCAGGGCGGGGUGGCCCGUGGGUGUCCCUGCACCAGGUGACAUGGAUGGAGGAGCUCCUGCAGUGCUGCACUGGCCCUUUCCCAGCUGCAUGGAUCCCCCUGCCUGCAAUCCCCAGGGAAUCCACCCACACAGAGCUGCACUCCCAGCUGCAGGAAAGCUCCUGCAGAGCCAGCAGCCUGGGUCCCUCUGUCCCCCCAGCCCACCCUGCCAUGGCUCGUGCUGCUCUGGGCACUGGGCGUGCUGGGACCCUUCCUGUGGGUUUGAUGUGUGUUUAAUCUGGUCGUGAAACCAUAUUGCAAAAUGUAAUAAAUGAGAGGUUUAAUCAAACCCAGCCAGCCAGCACUGAUGGAAACUUGGUGGCGGAAGAAAAUAUUGCAUUCUGUUUGUUUAUCUCCCCCUGUGCUCCCGGGGCCAUGUCCUGCCUCUCCUGAGGAGCUCCUUGUGCUUGGUGGUGCUGGGGGCACAGGCUGGAUGUGGGGCCACUGCAGUGGGGUCACUGGCAGCUCCCAGCCCCAUGCCUUGGCUGGCUUCCCAGCAGUGGGAUCUCCCUCCUGCCACUGCCCUCACAGCCCUUUCUCUUCAGGGUCUCUCAGGGUACCCCUGUUCAAGGAGCUGCUGUGGGGCUCAAGGCCUCCAUCCCACCUUUCCUAUCACCCAGAUGGCACCAGGAUCCAGUCUUAGGGUGUCUCCAGGUCUUGUCUGCCUAAAUCUUAGGCACGAUGUGGGAAGGUUGAGCAUCUCCCCAGGGUGGGAACAGUUCUGCCAAGGGGGGGAGUGAGGAUAAAACCACCAGGUUUCUCCGGCUCUGAACUGGGGGCAAAGCAUCCCAGUAAGCAGUCAGUUGAUGUGGCUGGGAAUGAGGAGAGGCUGCAUUUCCCCUGAGCAUCACAGCCUGGGAACGCACGGAUCCCGGGGCUGCGGGGCCAG